Molecule: long non-coding RNA, 400 nt
Filed under: Cyanistes caeruleus (blue tit)
Lineage: Eukaryota; Metazoa; Chordata; Aves; Passeriformes; Paridae
Description: lncRNA (ENSCCEG00000017896.1)
Source: RNAcentral
CUGGGCUCUGCGAGUGGCGUGUUGCCAGUCUCCUGCCUCACAUUAACAGGAAUACUAUAUAUUACUAAAUUCAAAGUGUUUUUCAUUCAGGACUAGAAGAAUGUAAUGGAGCAUGCAUCUGGCAGCAGGACACCAUGGCUGUGGAGAGCUGGAGAGGAGAAUGGUGUCAUCAUCUGAGGGGAAACACAAAGCAGAAAGGAAUGAGGAGGGGAAAUUUCAGUGCUUAUUUUUAGACUCCGUGGCUCACACAGCACUGGAGCUCUGUGUCGUGCAGGAGUACACAAGUGUUGGAUCCAUGUGGAAAGAGCCAGACUAUGACAGUUGCCUGGUUCCCAGGAGAGGGAACACUUUGUCAGAGAAGUCGUCUCAUCAGAAGCCCUUGAAUGCUGUUCAGAUCUGA